CCAGCAGCCGCGGUAAUACGUAGGAGGCGAGCGUUAUCCGGAUUCACUGGGCGUAAAGCGUGCGUAGACGGUUAUGUAAGUCGGGUGUGAAAGCCCCGGGCUCAACCUGGGAAUUGCAUUCGAGACUGCAUAGCUAGGGUGCGGAAGAGGGAAGCGGAAUUUCCGGUGUAGCGGUGAAAUGCGUAGAUAUCGGAAGGAACACCAGUGGCGAAAGCGGCUUCCUGGUCCAGCAUCGACGUUCAGGCACGAAAGCGUGGGGAGCAAACAGGAUUAGAUACCCUGGUA
This 285-nucleotide ribosomal RNA is filed under the name uncultured Gammaproteobacteria bacterium. Its description in RNAcentral is "partial 16S ribosomal RNA". It matches the Rfam family "Bacterial small subunit ribosomal RNA", at positions 508 to 792 of the family's 1533-position model. Lineage: Bacteria; Pseudomonadati; Pseudomonadota; Gammaproteobacteria. The record is from RNAcentral.